CCUGAUCCAGCAAUGCCGCGUGUGUGAAGAAGGCCUUCGGGUUGUAAAGCACUUUUGUCCGGAAAGAAAUCCUUGGGUCUAAUACAGCCGGGGGAUGACGGUACCGGAAGAAUAAGCACCGGCUAACUACGUGCCAGCAGCCGCGGUAAUACGUAGGGUGCGAGCGUUAAUCGGAAUUACUGGGCGUAAAGCGUGCGCAGGCGGUUUGCUAAGACCGAUGUGAAAUCCCCGGGCUUAACCUGGGAACUGCAUUGGUGACUGGCAGGCUAGAGUAUGGCAGAAGGGGGUAGAAUUCCACGUGUAGCAGUGAAAUGCGUAGAGAUGUGGAGGAAUACCGAUGGCGAAGGCAGCCCCCUGGGCCAAUACUGACGCUCAUGCACGAAAGCGUGGGGAGCAAACAGGAUUAAAUACCCUGGUAGUCCACGCCCUAAACGAUGUCAACUAGUUGUUGGGGAUUCAUUUCCUUAGUAACGUAGCUUACGCGUGAAGUUGACCGCCUGGGGAGUACGGUCGCAAGAUUAAAACUCAAAGGAAUUGACGGGGACCCGCACAAGCGGUGGAUGAUGUGGAUUAAUUCGAUGCAACGCGAAAAACCUUACCUACCCUUGACAUGGUCGGAAUCCUGCUGA
RNAcentral lists this ribosomal RNA (629 nucleotides) under Burkholderia sp. IBb311. RNAcentral's name for it is "bacterial SSU rRNA". It matches the Rfam family "Bacterial small subunit ribosomal RNA", at positions 382 to 1004 of the family's 1533-position model. The record is from RNAcentral. Lineage: Bacteria; Pseudomonadati; Pseudomonadota; Betaproteobacteria; Burkholderiales; Burkholderiaceae.